Molecule: ribosomal RNA, 474 nt
Filed under: uncultured organism
Description: partial 16S ribosomal RNA
Rfam family: Bacterial small subunit ribosomal RNA
Source: RNAcentral
CACUCCUGCGGGCGGCAGCAGUGGGGAAUUUUGGACAAUGGGCGAAAGCCUGAUCCAGCAAUGCCGCGUGCAGGAUGAAGGCCUUCGGGUUGUAAACUGCUUUUGUACGGAACGAAAAAGCUCCUUCUAAUACAGGGGGCCCAUGACGGUACCGUAAGAAUAAGCACCGGCUAACUACGUGCCAGCAGCCGCGGUAAUACGUAGGGUGCGAGCGUUAAUCGGAAUUACUGGGCGUAAAGCGUGCGCAGGCGGUUAUGUAAGACAGAUGUGAAAUCCCCGGGCUCAACCUGGGAACUGCAUUUGUGACUGCAUGGCUAGAGUACGGUAGAGGGGGAUGGAAUUCCGCGUGUAGCAGUGAAAUGCGUAGAUAUGCGGAGGAACACCGAUGGCGAAGGCAAUCCCCUGGACCUGUACUGACGCUCAUGCACGAAAGCGUGGGGAGCAAACAGGAUUAGAAACCCUAGUAGUCCCAUG